This is a long non-coding RNA of Trifolium pratense (red clover), 689 nucleotides long. RefSeq lists it as uncharacterized. The record is from RefSeq and is a predicted model, not a curated record. The transcript has 6 exons. Lineage: Eukaryota; Viridiplantae; Streptophyta; Magnoliopsida; Fabales; Fabaceae.
CUCUCUCUCUCUCUCUCUCUCUCUCUCUCAUUCCGCCGUUUCUUUUCUUUCUUCUUUCACUCUCAAACUAUCACACAAAAACUCAAACCCUAAUAUAAUGGAUUUGCCUCCGCUGAGACCACCACCACCACCAACGUAAAUCCCUCUAUCUUCAUUCUUCGUUUCGUUCUUCAAUUUCGCCGCUGAUAUUGUUGAUAAAAAAAAUAUAACCACUCAUGAUUUAAGCUUUUCAGUCAAAGGGUUUGAGAAUCUUCAUUCUCUUUUCCAGAUCUGUUCUUAAAGUUGAGAGGGUUUGAGAAUCUUCAUUCUCUUUUCCAGAUCUGUUCUUAAAGUUGAGAGGAGAUCUGUGGCUCUUGCUAUAAAUUCUUCACUUUAUGAUAGAAGAACAGAUUCAUGAAUUGGUGAACAAACUGGUUAAAGAGCAUGUAAUCAUUGACCUUGAAUUGAAUAUCAGUAUCAAUAAGAGAUGCAUUUGGACGAAUUAAUGAGUUUCCCAUGCUUUGAGACAUAAAUCCCAAUUUCAAGCUUCAAGACUUUUAUGAAUUAUAGUGAUGUAAUGCUUAUUAAUACUCAGAAAAAAUGAUUCAACAAUAUUUAAUAUAAGGCCCAAUUUUGAUGGUUAUUGGCCAAAAAAGAGAAAAAACUCAUCUGGACUGUUAUAAGAAAUAAAGCUCAAUAAAAGAAAAAAA